Molecule: ribosomal RNA, 465 nt
Filed under: Vreelandella stevensii
Lineage: Bacteria; Pseudomonadati; Pseudomonadota; Gammaproteobacteria; Oceanospirillales; Halomonadaceae
Description: partial 16S ribosomal RNA
Rfam family: Bacterial small subunit ribosomal RNA
Source: RNAcentral
CCUACGGGCGGCUGCAGUGGGGAAUAUUGGACAAUGGGGGGAACCCUGAUCCAGCCAUGCCGCGUGUGUGAAGAAGGCCCUCGGGUUGUAAAGCACUUUCAGUGAGGAAGAACGCCUGGUGGUUAAUACCCAUCAGGAAAGACAUCACUCACAGAAGAAGCACCGGCUAACUCCGUGCCAGCAGCCGCGGUAAUACGGAGGGUGCGAGCGUUAAUCGGAAUUACUGGGCGUAAAGCGCGCGUAGGUGGCUUGAUAAGCCGGUUGUGAAAGCCCCGGGCUCAACCUGGGAACGGCAUCCGGAACUGUCAAGCUAGAGUGCAGGAGAGGAAGGUAGAAUUCCCGGUGUAGCGGUGAAAUGCGUAGAGAUCGGGAGGAAUACCAGUGGCGAAGGCGGCCUUCUGGACUGAAACUGACACUGAGGUGCGAAAGCGUGGGUAGCAAACAGGAUUAGAUACCCUGGUAGUC